CGCGUAGGCGGGAUGGCAAGUCGGUCGUGAAAUCCUUCGGCUCAACCGAAGAACGUCGAUCGAUACUGCUGUUCUUGAGGAUUGCAGAGGAGACUGGAAUUCCCGGUGUAGCGGUGAAAUGUGUAGAGAUCGGGAGGAACACCGGUGGCGAAGGCGGGUCUCUGGGCAAUUCCUGACGCUGAGGCGCGAAAGCGUGGGAGCAAAC
RNAcentral lists this ribosomal RNA (205 nucleotides) under uncultured bacterium. RNAcentral describes it as "partial 16S ribosomal RNA". It matches the Rfam family "Bacterial small subunit ribosomal RNA", at positions 568 to 773 of the family's 1533-position model. The record is from RNAcentral.